Molecule: RNA transcript, 4672 nt
Organism: Panthera uncia (snow leopard)
Lineage: Eukaryota; Metazoa; Chordata; Mammalia; Carnivora; Felidae
Gene: GGACT
Gene name: gamma-glutamylamine cyclotransferase
Exons: 3
Source: RefSeq, a predicted model, not a curated record
GCCGGGGAUUUCCGCUCGCUGCCUGGUCCGCUCUCCCCGACGGCGCCGCGCUCUGCGGCAGCAGGACUGAGAGAAGGACACCUGGUUCAUGAGCUACUGGUCACACUGUGAGGUGGGGGUACUUAUCCCGGCGUCCCAUUAGGAAGGAUUCUGAAGUCAAAAGCUUUGUAGGCUCUCACACUUACUAUGGUGCUGGACUCCAAGGUGACCGGGUUUUGAAGAAACAAGUUUACAGGGGCAUUAGAAAGAAGAACUGAGCCUGAUGUGAAGAAAAAAGAUGGAGGACAAGUUGCCAGAUGGGCUUCGGGGGUUGUUGUGGUAUGAAACCUAAGAGGCCAAGUAUUAGGGAAAUGUAGUUCAAAAUGUAUAGAAAUGGGAUGAGUUUCUGUAGCUAAGUCAUUUUUGGUUUAAAACUAACGUAGUAGUUGGAUUGGAAUUUGGAUUGGAAUAAAUAAAAAAUAAUGAAGGAUUAGUAAGGUUGUUACCUCCAUUGGACCCAAGUCUUUAUUUUGUUUAAAAAAAAAUUAUUAUAGAUGUUCUUUAAACUUUAUUCCUGUUGACAUUAAUAAGGUCCUAUAAAUGUGCAUAUAUAUGGGGAAGUGGAGGAAGGGAUAAUAGAUGGGUAUUGGGGUCUUAAAUUGGGGUUUUAGAAUACCAGACUAAUACACCUGCUGCCCCCUGGUGGCAGCGUAUUAAAUAGUGAAGUUCAGAGGUGAGGAAUUCUGGAGAGCUGAGUUGGUUGUAUAAGAGGAUUAUAGGGGGAAUCAGGAGAUGUUUUCUCUUUCCAGCUCUGUUCAUAAUUACUAUCCAUAUGACCUUAGAUAAAUCAUUUAGUUUGAUUACCUUUUAUUUUAUAAGUUUCUUCCAGCUUUCACAUCUUACAAUUCUCUGAUGGUAAUAGCACAUAUUAUGUACUAAAAGAUGUGAAGUUCCACUUUUUCCAUUAGCAGCUGAAUCCUAACGUAUCCUAUAUAUUUAUUUAAGAAAGCAUACUCUAGAGUAACUCCUGAGGCACGAUACAGAUUCAGCUCUGGGCAGCAGACUGCAUAGGCUAUCUGUAGCACAGUCCAUAAUUAAUCAGUGUGACAAUCUUGCAUUAUUAUGAAAGCUCACAAGUUACAUCAUUUAAAAAAUAAUUUUUAUUGUGGUUAAAAAAAUAACAUAAACUUUACCAUCUUAACCAUUUUUAAGUAUACAGUUCAGUAGUGUUAAGUAUAUUCAGUGUUGUACAACAUACCUCCAAAACUGUUACUUCUUGUAAAACUGAAACUGUGUACCCAUUAGACAGCAACCCCCUACACUCCCCCUGCCCCUAGCAACUGCCAUGCUACUCUCUGUCUCUAUGAAUUUGACUAUUCUAGGUACCUCAUGUAAGUGGAAUCAUACAGUAUUUGUCUUUUUGUGACUCGUUUCUUUCAUUUAGCAUGAUGUUCCUAAGGCGAAUCCAAAUUGUAGCACGUGACAGGAUUUCUUUUCUUUAAGGCUGAAUAUUUGUAUGUAGAUACAUUUUACUUCUCCAUUCAUCUAUUGACAGACUCUUGGAUUACUUCCACUUCUUUGCUAUUGUGAAUAAUGCUGCAAUGAACCAAGGAUAUGCUGCAUUUUUAGUAUACAGUGUUUACUAAUGCAGAGAGGGUUUAUACAAUUUUUACAUGCAUGAAAGGUUAAAUUUCAUUAUAAAAACACCAUUCAACCAUGCUAAAUAACUAGGAUAUAGCUUUUUGUGUGGAUGAGUAAGUUAAAAAAGGAAUUAACAUUUAUCGAACAUACAAACUGUAUGUCAGGCACUUUUGUAUCUGUGAUCCAUUCUAUUGUUUAGUGUUUACAGUAAUUCUGUGAUUUACCCUUCUCUUGGGAGGGGACUAAUACUUAUUAAAAUCACUGUGUACCAGAAUUUUUAUAUACGUUAUCUCAUAUAAUCUUCAUACAUUAACCCUGAGGUGUGCUUUAGUAUCCCUGAUGUAACUGAGGUUCAGAGAGAUGAAACACCUUGAACAAGGUCACAUAGCUAAAAGGUAGCAGAGUUUUACCUGAGUACAAAGUGAAACAUGUCUGUUUCAGAUGUGUUCGACAUAUACCAUACUUUCUCCUGCUUUCAGAAAUAACACUAUACAUCUAUGAUCUGAAAGAUGUUGGAACAAUAUCAAGAUUACACUGCUAUAAUAAUUUAUAAAUAGAAACACUUCUGUAGUGCCUUUCCAUUAAAUAACAGUCCUUGGGUUUUCCUUGCAGAGAAACAGCAUUGAUUCAGAUGAAUUCAUCUGAAAUGUAUCAAGGCUUACCUCCUGGGGCAUUUUGCAAAAUAAACCUUCCUAGGACUUCCAAAAGAGUGGUUCUCUUGUGCCGGUCCCCCCAUUUCUGAGGUUAUCUUCCAUGUGUUAUUUUCCCCUUUUUCUUUCUCCCUUUCCUUUGAUGUGGCAGAUAGCUAGGACCGUUUUCACCACUUUCUGCUCCCACCUCUCUUGAACGCUAUGCUGCUUGGGUUUGGAGUUUUGAUCUGCUCCUUGCAUAGUGUUUUUUCACAGGUAAAGGGUUAUAAAAUGUCCUUAUAGGUGGUGGUUUUCUUGGAGAGUCAGUAAGCUCUUGGAAAGGCCCAUUGCAACAUGGGAUUUUUUGACUAACAGAGAUGUAGUGGUAUAUAGCAUCCGAGCAGCCACUUAAGCUUCUCUAAGAGUUCCUGUGCACUUAGGAUGACUUACAUUGGGAAUUUACAAACCUAGUGAUAGGUGAGGCUCAGGAAUGCUUCCAAGAUUCAUUCAAGGCCUUCGAUAAUUCCUGAAAGCAGGAUGUUAUGCAGUAAAUAAAGAAAAUGAGAGUGGCAGAAAUUGUGGUCACCACCAAAUGUCCAAUGUCUCCUUCCUUAGUUCCUGAUCUGCAGUUUUAUUCUGAGUGACCAUGUCCCUCAAGUUAUGGUAAAAAACAGGAAGGAGAAAUGUGUGAGACUUCUGCCAAGUUUUGCAAAGGAACCUGAGUCAGUGAGGUUGCUCCUGUUCCUCACCCUGCCCUACAUAGUUCCUACUACUUCGCAUGAAGAUAUUAUGGCCAGUGUAAUGCCAGCCAUCUUUUCUCCUAAGAGGACCUUAAGAAUGGAAGCCAUCUGUUAGCAGUGACACCAAGGAGCCUGGUGUGCUGGCUUACACAAAUGGCCACAAAUUCUUUCUAUUCUCUUGUGUGUGCACCUGUGCAGGGCACCUUUGCAGCCCCUCCCAUAAAGGGAAGAAGUCACCAUCUCCACCCCUAAACCUAGCACGGGGAGUCCCAGGCUGAGUGGGGUGAGUAGACUGCCCUUUUAGAGGGUUAUCUCAAUGUGGGCUGUCAGAGCCUGAGCGGCAAGAGGAGAGUUUAUGUGCAGGGAAGAUGGUUGUGACUGAAAUUGGAAAUUAGUUACAUAUGGGAGGAUUGAUCAUGUAAUUAACUGUACCAAAGAUCAUAUGAGCCAGCUAUGCCACUGUUGAAGGGAGUUGUCAGUACAGAAAUGUCAAGAACUAGGAUGAACCGUGUGGUGGUAUGGAUUGGGUCAGGUGUGUGAGUGUGAACUCAUGGUUUUCAAUACGUAUGGAUAUAAGUGUGUGUGUGUGUGUGUGUGUGUGUGUGUAUAGAUAGAUAUAGAUAUAUAGAUAUAGAUAUAUGUGUACAUAGUCUACUGAGGGAGCCUCUUGGGCAGAUAACACCGCAAGAACAAUAAGCACACCUCACACCCAGAUCUUGGCUUCUAAAUACCAACUAACAGCUGGAAACUAGGGCUCCUUGGAGAAAUGGCUGGUUCCAGGCCUGGGGCAGAGAAAGUCCAAGAUGAAUGUGGAACAUCUUGUGCCAGAAAGCAAGGAAAUGCAUUCUUAGGACUCAGUGACAGAAACAGUUCUGCCCACAAGGGAGGAUUACACAGGGGAGAUGAUGUUUGAAGUGACCUGGGAACCUUGAAGGAUGAGUAGGAUUUUGCCAGGCAGCAUGUUGAGGAAGGAAGAAGUUCCUUAGGGGCAAUGGCAGCCUUAUGAGCAAAGAGGGGGUCAGAUUAUACCUGCCACAGAGCAGUGUAAGGCAUGGCCUAGAUAUGGCUGAAGAGAAAGAUGCAGCUGGACACAUUGUCCUGCGUGAGCCACAUGCAGAAACUUAGGCUUGACCCUUUAGAAUUUGUUGUCUAGAGCUGCAUAACAAAUUAUCCUUAACAUCAGUGGCUGCAGACAACAUGCAUUAUCCCCCAUUUUCUGCAGGUGAGAAUCCGGGAGCUGCUUGGCUCGUGGCUCUAGCUCAGGGUCUUCAGCAGGCUGCAGACAGGGUGUGGGCUGGGGCUGUGGUCACCUCCCAGCUGACUGGAGGAGCAUCUGAGCUCACUCAUGUGACAGCCAGCAGGCCUUGGGGCCUUUCUGGCUGUCGGCAGAGACCUCAGCUCCUCUCCACAUGGGUGUCUCCUUAGGGAGUCUCACAGCAUGGCAGCUGGCUUCCCUGACAGCGAGGGGUCUGAGGGAAAGAGUGUACCAGAGAGCCCUCCAGACGGAAGGCACAGUCUAUUUAAAACCUAAUCUCAGAAGUAACAUCCCAUCACAUCCUCUGUAUUGUGUUCAUUUGAAUCAAGUCACUAAAGCUAGCCUUUGCACAAGGGGCACGAAUCACACAGGGACACUGUCAGUAGGGGAGAGGAUCAUUAGGGUCAUCUGAGGGGGCCCCUCAGAUG